This 91-nucleotide microRNA precursor is filed under the name Pelobates cultripes (western spadefoot toad). Lineage: Eukaryota; Metazoa; Chordata; Amphibia; Anura; Pelobatidae. The record is from RNAcentral.
CCCACAAGUCCGUCUGACAUAGAAUGAUAUUUAUUCUUUCCUUUUAUAUAUAUGAGAAUAAAUAUCAUUCUAUGUCAGACGGACUUAUGGG